This 442-nucleotide long non-coding RNA is filed under the name Daucus carota (carrot). RNAcentral's name for it is "long non-coding RNA (DCAR_LNC000603)". The record is from RNAcentral. Lineage: Eukaryota; Viridiplantae; Streptophyta; Magnoliopsida; Apiales; Apiaceae.
GAUAUCCUAUCCCAACUGAUGGGGAAACAUUUCAAAAUUUUGGUCAUCAAAGAGCCAUGUCAGCAUUAUCCAGAUGAUCAAGCAAUGAGUGGCUAUCUAAGCCAGGUAACUCCAACAUACACUCACAUUUUCAGAUCAUAACUUAUUCUUGUCAAUACAGAAACAAACAAACAAAUCACAUAUGAGAUGAGAUAUUCAUCAAUCAAACACCACUUAAAUUAAGAGAAUUGAUAAUUGGAUUUUCUCUUCUUUUUUACUAUUUACUUCCACUCAUUCUAACAAGGCUUUAUUAUAGUUUCAUUCUAAUUCUGAGAAUAUAUAAACAUAUAUUGUUACUGAUAUUUAACACUAGAAGCAAUAUAAUGGCCUCAACUACCACUCCGCUAUCUCUUUCCUCCAGCCUCACCGACGGCAAAGCACAUCUUCGACAGUCUGCUGCCGC